Long non-coding RNA from Brienomyrus brachyistius, 331 nucleotides. RefSeq lists it as uncharacterized. The transcript is spliced from 3 exons. NCBI's taxonomy places the organism in Eukaryota, Metazoa, Chordata, Actinopteri, Osteoglossiformes, Mormyridae. The record is from RefSeq and is a predicted model, not a curated record.
CAGCAGCUUCCAUCUGCUGUUGAGGUACUCCAGCGAAUGGGCGUUCUCCACAGAGAGGUGCACGUUAGAGAUGGCCAGCUGGUGCGUCAGAUUGUUGACAUGAUCCAUACCCUCCUUUACUUGGCCGACAGACUCAAGCAAAAAGCAAACGACAAAAUCAGAUGCACUGCAGGACACAGAAAAAAUCGUUUUCUUCCAUAGAGCAUACCUUAGUGGCGUCGAUAUGGUCCUGCAGCGUGUCGAUGAAGAGAUCCCCCACUGGCUCCCAGGCGCCCCGCACACCCUCCGCCUGCUCCAGCGCUGUGCUCAGCUCCCCCAUGGCCCCCUCCAC